This 2052-nucleotide unclassified non-coding RNA is filed under the name Megachile rotundata (alfalfa leafcutting bee). Its description in RNAcentral is "protein tweety, transcript variant X6". The record is from RNAcentral. Lineage: Eukaryota; Metazoa; Arthropoda; Insecta; Hymenoptera; Megachilidae.
CAGUCGAGCUCGGACCUUCGUCGGGUGUGGAGUGCGCGUUGUAUCGUCGUGUGUCAGUGUUCGAAUUAUUCACAGAAAAUCAAGGCCUCGUAGCAUGUCUUGACGAGUAGGAGGUGCUCUUCAACGGGGUUUUCGGCAGACAAGGGUUCUCCAAAAUGGCGGGCGGUCCGCAGCUUCCGGAACAGUACAUGGUACCUCAGCUCGCUAGGUUCUUUCACAGCCUGCCGCACCUCAACGUCUCGCUUCAUUCGGUUAACAACACCUUUAAUCCACAUUCCGAAAUCUAUCUAGAGAGCCUCGGGAUACUCGGAAGUAUCCCAGCAGCCUGGUUAAUCCUGACGUUGCUGGUGUUGCUGGUAUACCUGGUAACGAGAUGCUGUGACCGGAAGCCGCGCCCCAGGAGGUCGAUAACCCUGCUGAAGUGUUCACUGGCCAUCCUGGCGUUGCUUUGCAGCGGAGCUGUAGCCGUCGGCCUCUACGGUAACGACGAUGUACACAACGGUUUGGUGCAAUUGGUGGCUGCCGCGAAGAGCGUCGAUGGUAUUCUCAUGGGUGUACGGAAUCAGACCGAUACCAUCGAGUAUACGCUGAGGAAGAAAAUAUUAGACCAAUUAAUCGACUUGAGGGACAAAUUCGAUGACCCGGCCAGCAACAAGACGAUACUCGAAGUACUGUUGGCCGCUCUGGAAAGCAUGAAACAAAACACGAGCAACGCCCUGAACCGAAGCUCUGAAAUCAAGAAACCCUUGACGGGAAUCAACCUCGCUGGAGCGAUCGGAAUCGCGGAGAAGAUAGAGCAAUUAAGGUGGCCGAUCACCAUGGCAGUCUUGAGCGCUCUUCUAGUUCUUUGCGUGGUGCUAGUUGUCGGUGUCGCGCGACAUUCCAGAUGCGUUCUUAUAACAUUCUCCGUGUUCGGCUUGUUCGCGGUGAUCGUCUCUUGGUUGAUGGCUUCGUUGUACCUUGCGACCUCAGUGGCCUUAGGUGAUCUCUGCGUGUCUCCGGACGGUUACCUGACCAGAGCAGUGCCGUCUACGUUAGCCUCGGAGGUUCUUUCGUAUUACACGCAUUGCGAGAACACGCGUAACAAUCCGUUUACGCAGAGACUAAGAGACGGUCAGGCAGCGAUCACCGAUGCGAGCAAGAACCUGAAUACCGUGACAAAGUUGGCGCUGGAGUUGUUCCCGGACCUACAGUUGCAACCUAAGUUGAACAGCCUUGCAUACGACGUUAACACCGUGAACAAACUUCUGUCAGGGUUAGCCACGUUCCUCGAUUGCAAACCCCUUUACAAGCAAUACGUUCAUGCUGCCAAGAGCUUAUGUCAGUUAGGAUUGUACGGAUUGACCUUCAUGUUAUUGGCGAGCUUAGCCGCGGGUCUCUUCUUCACAGUGUUAGUUUGGGUGGACUCGCACACUUGGAUCUACAUUCGAAAACGGCAGAGAACCACCUUGGACCCCAAGCGUGGCCUCGUUCACCGGUACCCUGUCUCACAAUUCUCAUGGGCCUGCUCACUUGGCCACGUUUCAAGAUUCCCGCAAGACGCAGACUCUGGACCCUAAGAACUUGGCAAAUCUGAAGAGAGGUCCGACCCCGGCUUGGAACCAAAAUCGACCAUUGCCACCGAAUCCCAGCAGCCAGCCUACUUGGGAGUUCGAGUCGCGUUCGCAGACCAAUAUGAACCAAUUCCGUUCUUUGGUGAGAAACAAGGCACCCAACAUUCGCAUACAGGACCAGAUGCAGGACCAGUUCUCUCUCGGUGUGCGAAAGAGAUUUAGUUACAAAGUGUGCAGAGGCUAACGAGACUUUACGUAAGUUUAAGAUUUCUAUGGUGUUUUUGUACGCGAGAAGAGAAGCACUUCAAGCGUGUAUUGUAAAGAGAAUUCUUCGAGAGGCAUAUAUAUAUAUAUAAAGUAAAACGAAACUCGUUAAUCGAUAUCGUUUUUGUGCAUUGCGAUUACGUCUAAUUGCCAUAUUCCAGACUUAAUUCCUCUUAUUGUAAUGGUAACACAAAUAUUAAUGAGAAGAAAAAUAAAAAAACCGUAAGAUCUACAA